GACGAACGCUGGCGGCGUGCUUAGCACAUGCAAGUCGAACGGAAAGGCCCUGCUUUUGUGGGGUGCUCGAGUGGCGAACGGGUGAGUAACACGUGAGUAACCUGCCCUUGACUUUGGGAUAACUUCAGGAAACUGGGGCUAAUACCGGAUAGGAGCUCCUGCUGCAUGGUGGGGGUUGGAAAGUUUCGGCGGUUGGGGAUGGACUCGCGGCUUAUCAGCUUGUUGGUGGGGUAGUGGCUUACCAAGGCUUUGACGGGUAGCCGGCCUGAGAGGGUGGCCGGCCACAUUGGGACUGAGAUACGGCCCAGACUCCUACGGGAGGCAGCAGUGGGGAAUAUUGCACAAUGGGCGGAAGCCUGAUGCAGCAACGCCGCGUGCGGGAUGACGGCCUUCGGGUUGUAAACCGCUUUCGCCUGUGACGAAGCGUGAGUGACGGUAAUGGGUAAAGAAGCACCGGCUAACUACGUG
Molecule: ribosomal RNA, 468 nt
Filed under: uncultured bacterium
Lineage: Bacteria
Description: partial 16S ribosomal RNA
Rfam family: Bacterial small subunit ribosomal RNA
Source: RNAcentral